UACGUAGGUGGCGAGCGUUGUCCGGAUUUACUGGGUGUAAAGGGAGCGUAGACGGUAAAGCAAGUCUGAAGUGAAAUGCCAGUGCUCAACACUGGAACUGCUUUGGAAACUGUUUGGCUGGAGUGCAGGAGAGGUAAGUGGAAUUCCUAGUGUAGCGGUGAAAUGCGUAGAUAUAUGGAGGAACACCGGUGGCGAAAGCGGCUCUCUGGCCUGUAACUGACACUGAGGCUCGAAAGCGUGGGGAGCAAACAGG
RNAcentral lists this ribosomal RNA (253 nucleotides) under uncultured bacterium. RNAcentral's name for it is "partial 16S ribosomal RNA". It matches the Rfam family "Bacterial small subunit ribosomal RNA", at positions 524 to 776 of the family's 1533-position model. The record is from RNAcentral.